UAAGGGGGCUCGUGUAGUCAAAAUGAGAAAUAGAAGAAACUGAUAGUUAACAUAGGGUUAGUUUUAGUUUAGAUUAAAUUAGUUAAUUAAUUUUGUUAUUUUUAUUAUAGCUUAAUUUAAUUAGUUAAUAAUUAUUGUUUUGGAGCUACACUACUAAUUCUUGACUCAACUAGAUUAGUACCUUUUUUAGUAAUUAAUUUAAUAGUGAUUUUCUUCAAUCAGC
RNAcentral lists this long non-coding RNA (223 nucleotides) under Gossypium barbadense (sea-island cotton). RNAcentral describes it as "long non-coding RNA (GBAR_LNC020140)". The record is from RNAcentral. Lineage: Eukaryota; Viridiplantae; Streptophyta; Magnoliopsida; Malvales; Malvaceae.